Molecule: ribosomal RNA, 399 nt
Filed under: uncultured bacterium
Lineage: Bacteria
Description: bacterial SSU rRNA
Rfam family: Bacterial small subunit ribosomal RNA
Source: RNAcentral
GGGAAUUUUGCGCAAUGGGGGAAACCCUGACGCAGCAACGCCGCGUGGAGGAUGAAGUAUCUCGGUACGUAAACUCCUUUCGAUGGGGAAGAUAAUGACGGUACCCAUAGAAGAAGCCCCGGCUAACUUCGUGCCAGCAGCCGCGGUAAUACGAGGGGGGCAAGCGUUGUUCGGAUUUAUUGGGCGUAAAGGGUGCGUAGGCGGUUUGGCAAGUCUUAUGUGAAAUCUAUGGGCUCAACCCAUAGUCUGCAUGAGAAACUACCGGGCUUGAGUGAUGGAGAGGUGAGUGGAAUUUCCGGUGUAGCGGUGAAAUGCGUAGAUAUCGGAAGGAACACCUGUGGCGAAAGCGGCUCACUGGACAUUAACUGACGCUGAUGCACGAAAGCUAGGGGAGCAAAC